UGGGGAAUAUUGCACAAUGGGGGAAACCCUGAUGCAGCGGCGCCGCGUGAGUGAAGAAGUAUUUCGGUAUGUAAAGCUCUAUCAGCAGGGAAGAAAAUGACGGUACCUGACUAAGAAGCCCCGGCUAACUACGUGCCAGCAGCCGCGGUAAUACGUAGGGGGCAAGCGUUAUCCGGAUUUACUGGGUGUAAAGGGAGCGUAGACGGCUGUGCAAGUCUGAUGUGAAAGGCAGGGGCUCAACUCCUGGACUGCAUUGGAAACUGUGUAGCUUGAGUGCCGGAGAGGUAAGCGGAAUUUCCUAGUGUAGCGGUGAAAUGCGUAGAUAUUAGGAGGAACACCAGUGGCGAAGGCGGCUUACUGGACGGUAACUGACGUUGAGGCUCGAAAGCGUGGGGAGCAAACAGGAUUAGAUACC
Molecule: ribosomal RNA, 415 nt
Filed under: uncultured bacterium
Lineage: Bacteria
Description: bacterial SSU rRNA
Rfam family: Bacterial small subunit ribosomal RNA
Source: RNAcentral